This 495-nucleotide ribosomal RNA is filed under the name uncultured bacterium. Its description in RNAcentral is "partial 16S ribosomal RNA". It matches the Rfam family "Bacterial small subunit ribosomal RNA", at positions 28 to 507 of the family's 1533-position model. The record is from RNAcentral.
GAUGAACGCUGGCGGCGUGCCUAAUACAUGCAAGUCGAGCGAACGGACGAGAAGCUUGCUUCUCUGAUGUUAGCGGCGGACGGGUGAGUAACACGUGGAUAACCUACCUAUAAGACUGGGAUAACUUCGGGAAACCGGAGCUAAUACCGGAUAAUAUUUUGAACCGCAUGGUUCAAAAGUGAAAGACGGUCUUGCUGUCACUUAUAGAUGGAUCCGCGCUGCAUUAGCUAGUUGGUAAGGUAACGGCUUACCAAGGCAACGAUGCAUAGCCGACCUGAGAGGGGUAUCGGCCACCCGGGGGCGACAGCCCGCUCCGGGCCCCACGGGGGGCCCGGAGUGCGGAAUCUUCCCGCAGUGGGGAACACUGCACGGUGGACCGCCGCUUGAUGGAGGAAGUCCCCGGGCUCGAAAACCUCUUUUUUUUGGUAAACACAUUUGGUAUAUUACGUUGCCACAUUUACGCUGUCCCGUACAGAAGCCCCCCCUCACUCCCUG